AGAGCGAACGCUGGCGGCAGGCCUAACACAUGCAAGUCGAACGGACUCUUCGGAGUUAGUGGCGGACGGGUGAGUAACACGUGGGAACGUGCCUUUAGGUUCGGAAUAGCUCCUGGAAACGGGUGGUAAUACCGAAUGUGCCCUUCGGGGGAAAGAUUUAUCGCCUUUAGAGCGGCCCGCGUCUGAUUAGCUUGUUGGUGAGGUAAUGGCUCACCAAGGCUACGAUCAGUAGCUGGUCUGAGAGGAUGACCAGCCACAUUGGGACUGAGACACGGCCCAAACUCCUACGGAGGCAGCAGUGGGGAAUCUUGCGCAAUGGGCAAAGCCUGACGCAGCCAUGCCGCGUGUAUGAUGAAGGUCUUAGGAUUGUAAAAUACUUUCACCGGUUGAAGAUAAUGACUGUAGCCGGAAGAAGAAGCCCGCUAACUCGUGCCAGCAGCCGC
This 443-nucleotide ribosomal RNA is filed under the name uncultured soil bacterium. RNAcentral describes it as "bacterial SSU rRNA". It matches the Rfam family "Bacterial small subunit ribosomal RNA", at positions 26 to 518 of the family's 1533-position model. The record is from RNAcentral.